This 240-nucleotide unclassified non-coding RNA is filed under the name soil metagenome. RNAcentral describes it as "partial contains 5.8S ribosomal RNA, internal transcribed spacer 2, and large subunit ribosomal RNA". The record is from RNAcentral.
AAGACUAUAGACCUGCGGAGUACCUGCGGAGGGAUCAUUAUCGUAUUGUAACAAUUGGGGGGGCCACCGUGGGCUGUCGCUGACCCUUUGAAAGGGGGGUCAUGCACGCCCCCAUAGUGUCAUCCUCAUACAAUCCAACUCACCUCUGUGCAUCACCGCGUGGGUUCCUUUCUGGGUCGAGUCAGACUGGCUCAGAAAAAAGGGGCUUGCGUUUUCCAUACAAAUACCCUUAUAAAUCCA